RNAcentral lists this ribosomal RNA (479 nucleotides) under uncultured bacterium. RNAcentral describes it as "partial 16S ribosomal RNA". It matches the Rfam family "Bacterial small subunit ribosomal RNA", at positions 29 to 523 of the family's 1533-position model. The record is from RNAcentral.
AACAAACGCUGGCGGCGUGCCUAAUACAUGCAAGUCGAACGGGGAAAGCUUUCGGGUGAGUACUAGUGGCGCACGGGUGAGUAACGCGUGGAUAAUCUGCCCUCGAAUGGGGAAUAACUAGUCGAAAGAUUAGCUAAUACCGCAUAAGACCACGACUACUGAGGUAGUUGGGGUCAAAGGAGCAAUUCGUUUGAGGAUGAGUCCGCGUAAGAUUAGCUAGUUGGUGAGGUAAUGGCUCACCAAGGCGAUGAUCUUUAACUGGUCUGAGAGGAUGAUCAGUCACACUGGAACUGAGACACGGUCCAGACUCCUACGGGAGGCAGCAGUAGGGAAUAUUGGACAGUGGGGGCAACCCUGAUCCAGCGACGCCGCGUGAGCGAUGAAGGCCUUCGGGUCGUAAGGCUCUGUUGUAAGGGAAAAAGUUCUGAUUGUACCUUACGAGAAAGGAUCGGCUAACUUCGUGCCAGCAGCCGCAGUAA